GUAAAAAUAUUUUAUGUAAAAAAUUUAAAUUAAUAUAAAGUAAUUAUUAUUUAUCAAAGUUUUACAUCAAGAUAAUAAUUAUUUUAUUUUCUGUUUUGAUUAUGGUUAAAAUAUUUACUAGAAGUAAGCCUGAUGAUGGCAGGCAGUGCUGCCGAGGGCGUUCGCCACUAGUGGGGACGUUUCAAUACUGCUGAGUGGUGCUUGAUUGGUAGUUGUUACACUGAAUUCAUAUAUAUUACUUAUCUAUAAUGGCUCUUAUUUAUAAAUAACACAAAAAAUCAAGUACAUAGGAAACUAAAUCAUGAAAAUAAAUGUAAAAUUGAAAGACUUGUAUUGAGGAAUAAAAUAGAUGUAAAAUAUGACAAAGUAUAAAGAUAUGUAUGAGGAGAGGCCAAAAAGUUCUUAUUUCAUCAUGACAGAGACAAAUGCUAGGGACUUGAAAUUUUCCUCCAACUAUUCCUUUUCUAUAAAUCCAUUUUCUACAGCCACAUACUUCUCCACAGCAGUAAUGAUCUCAUCAUCAAAGAAACUUCUUCCCUGUAAAUGUUUUUUUCGUAUUUUGAAACAGGAAGAAAUCUGAAGAUGUUAAAUCAAGAGAAUACAGGGAAUGGGAUAAGGUUUUAUAGCC
RNAcentral lists this long non-coding RNA (628 nucleotides) under Androctonus crassicauda. The record is from RNAcentral. Lineage: Eukaryota; Metazoa; Arthropoda; Arachnida; Scorpiones; Buthidae.